Molecule: ribosomal RNA, 413 nt
Filed under: uncultured bacterium
Lineage: Bacteria
Description: bacterial SSU rRNA
Rfam family: Bacterial small subunit ribosomal RNA
Source: RNAcentral
GUGCCAGCCGCCGCGGUAAUACGUAGGUGGCAAGCGUUGUCCGGAAUUAUUGGGCGUAAAGCGCGCGCAGGCGGUUUCUUAAGUCUGAUGUGAAAGCCCACGGCUUAACCGUGGAGGGUCAUUGGAAACUGGGAGACUUGAGUGCAGAAGAGGAAAGUGGAAUUCCACGUGUAGCGGUGAAAUGCGUAGAGAUGUGGAGGAGCACCAGUGGCGAAGGCGACUUUCUGGUCUGCAGCUGACGCUGAGGCGCGAAAGCGUGGGGAGCAAACAGGAUUAGAUACCCUGGUAGUCCAUGCCGUAAACGAUGAAUGCUAAGUGUUAGGGGGUUCCAGCCCCUUAGUGCUGCAGUUAACACAUGAAGCACUCCGCCUGGGGAGUACGACCGCAAGGUUGAAACUUAAAGGAAUUGACGG